This 497-nucleotide ribosomal RNA is filed under the name uncultured bacterium. RNAcentral's name for it is "partial 16S ribosomal RNA". It matches the Rfam family "Bacterial small subunit ribosomal RNA", at positions 28 to 507 of the family's 1533-position model. The record is from RNAcentral.
GAUGAACGCUGGCGGCGUGCCUAAUACAUGCAAGUCGAGCGAACGGACGAGAAGCUUGCUUCUCUGAUGUUAGCGGCGGACGGGUGAGUAACACGUGGAUAACCUACCUAUAAGACUGGGAUAACUUCGGGAAACCGGAGCUAAUACCGGAUGAUAUUUUGAACCGCAUGGUUCAAAAGUGAAAGACGGUCUUGCUGUCACUUAUAGAUGGAUCCGCGCUGCAUUAGCUAGUUGGUAAGGUAACGGCUUACCAAGGCAACGAUGCAUAGCCGACCUGAGAGGGUGAUCGGCCACACGGGAACUGAGACGCGGUCCAGACUCCUACGGGAGGCAGCAGUAGGGAAUCUUCCGCAAUGGGCGAAAGCCUGACGGAGCAACGCCGCGUGAGUGAUGAAGGUCUUCGGAUCGUAAAACUCUGUUAUUAGGGAAGAACAUAUGUGUAAGUAACUGUGCACAUCUUGACGGUACCUAAUCAGAAAGCCACGGCUAACUACGUG